This 2298-nucleotide ribosomal RNA is filed under the name Triticum aestivum (bread wheat). RNAcentral describes it as "partial small subunit ribosomal RNA". Lineage: Eukaryota; Viridiplantae; Streptophyta; Magnoliopsida; Poales; Poaceae. The record is from RNAcentral.
AUGCCGAGGGUGAAUAUUCCUGUGCCUAAGGUUCUGAUUUUGUUGAGGAUGUCCGAGGAAUCGCUUCAUCGAAGGUUCGAGUUCCUCAUCUCUGAGUUGGGGUUGGAACAGGCUUAUGUUGGUUAUCGCCCAGCAAUGUUCUAUUAUAGCCUGGAGGGCCCUCUGAAAUCCUGGUUCUGCUGUUUUACUUGGCACCUUAAGCUGGCAAGCUUUGUUUUAGUGUUCUUCCCUGACAAGAUGUUUGUUAUCUGGUAUGGUGGCUGUUGGAAAAUGAGAAAUUGUACUGGUCUUCAAGGUAGGGAUGAACAUUGGCGUUCAGCGCUUGGAGAAUGGCUGAAGAAGAGUGGUUUGGCACUCUGUCUGCUAGCUAUCAGUGAGCUUGUUGGGAUGUCAUUCAGUACGAGAGGAGGAUGCAGACUUGAUCCAGUCUGUUGGUUGCUGUGCUUCGUUGUUCUGAACAUUUGGAAAAUGAGAAAUUUUACUGUUUUCCAUAGGUGGUUUGUGGCAAGUGAACUUGUCUGGAUGUCGUUCAGACUUGAUCCAGUUUGUUGGUUGAUCGCCUCGGCCGAGCAAGAGUCUGGCAACGUCGACAAAGGCGUGGUGCGCGAGCCUCCUCUUUGUCCGGGCGACCGAGCCGGCGUGCUACACCGGCGCCCCGCAGUCAGCAGGGAACUGCUUUCCAACCAUGGCGACAAUCCCCUCGCGCAACAGGCACAGGAACAAUCCAGUCUCCCGAUCCGCUUCGUAGAACCCCCUCAGACCCACGUCUUUCUCCUCUUCCUCGCCCUCCUUGUCCAUCGUCCAGUGGGUAGAAGGGGUUGGGUGAACACCGCCAUGGUAAAAUGGUGGAGGUGCUACGGGGAGGCGGUGGCGGUGUAUCUAGGGGCAUUGGCGCUGCCCCUGAUCUGCUGCCCCAGCUGCAAGGAGAAGGUGCGCAUGUACCUCUCGACGACUGAGAAGCACGACGGGUGGAUCAUUUACAAAUGCCGGAAGCAUGGGGUUAGUGGUUCUGAGCUAGCACUGAUGAAUACAUCCAGAAGCAGGUGCAACAAGGCCGUGAAGAAUGAAGUAAGCUAUGGGAUGAGUAGGCAGGAAGCUUGUGCAUUGAAGAUGUCAGGGAGGGAGCUGGUGAAGCUCAUGAAGAUGCUAGUUGGUGUUGUGGGCGUUUGGGAAGGACAGGCAGCCACCGCGACGCGCUCGCGCCCAGCCUCCGCAUGCCCUCUUCUCCUGCUUGGCGUAGGUGUCGUGCUCCGACUCUGCGACGCCGAGCUAGAGUGUCCCUGGUUGAUCCGGCUCUUGCAACAGGUGUUCCUCUUUGAUGUGGUCUUCGAGCGGUCCUCGGCCCAGCUAGAGUACUACCUGCCGAUCUUCGGCACCAUCGACAACUUGGUCCGGCCGCUCAAACGCGGCUCCGGCCUCCUCGACUCUGACCUCGAGACGGUAGUCAAGCCAAAUGUCAAGCUCCUGAGAGAAUGCGGGCUAGGUGCUUGUGAUAUUGCCAAGCUGCUCACCCGUGUGCCAAUGUUGCAGAGCUCCAAACCAGAGUGUGUCCUGGCGAUGGUUGCGUGCGCCGAAGGUAUAGGUGUGCUCCGUGGAUCUCGGAUGUUCAGGCAAGCGCUGCAGGCUGUCUCAUACUUCAGCGAGGAGAAGAUCGCUGCCAGAGUGGACUACUUGAAGAAAACGUUUAGGUGGUCAGAUGCCGAGGUCGGCAUUGCAGUGUCCAAGGCUCCGUCUCUGCUCAGGAGUUCAAAGAAGAUGCUACAGCACAGGUCCGAGUUCCUUAUCUCUGAGGCGGGGCUAGGGCCAGCCUACAUUGCUCAUCGGCCGGAUAUGCUCGUUCUUAGCGUGGAGGUCCGGCUAAGACCCCGUUACUAUGUUAUGAAGUUUCUCAAGGAAAAUGGAUUGCUCAAGCGUGACCUAAGCUACAAUACAAUUGUCAAGGUCACCGAAAAGCUAUUCUUGGAGAAGUUCAUAUGCCCUCACAAGGAAGAUGCACCACACCUCGCUGAAGACUAUGCAGCCGCUUGCAGAGGCAGAUUUGUAUGCCCUCACAAGGAAGCUGCCCCCACCUCGCCGAAGACUAUGCUGCCACUUGUAGGGAAAUGCCUUCUAAUUUCAGAGUUACAUGACCAAGAAAGGGCCAUGAGAAUUCUUAACUGCGAAUGGCGCAAAAAUGUUUACACUAUGUGUAUAUGUCACGUACAUGCUAAUUUAGCGUCGCUGGGCCUGAAUGAAACUGAUAAUUUUAUCUGGACGGAAUUGUCUCCCCCGCUGAACGAGCAUCGCCAGAAUGCCUGA